RNAcentral lists this ribosomal RNA (468 nucleotides) under uncultured bacterium. RNAcentral describes it as "partial 16S ribosomal RNA". It matches the Rfam family "Bacterial small subunit ribosomal RNA", at positions 28 to 507 of the family's 1533-position model. The record is from RNAcentral.
GACGAACGCUGGCGGCGUGCUUAACACAUGCAAGUCGAACGGAAAGGCCAUGCUCUUGUGGGGUGCUCGAGUGGCGAACGGGUGAGUAACACGUGAGUAACCUGCCCUUGACUUUGGGAUAACUUCAGGAAACUGGGGCUAAUACCGGAUAGGAGCUCCUGCUGCAUGGUGGGGGUUGGAAAGUUUCGGCGGUUGGGGAUGGACUCGCGGCUUAUCAGCUUGUUGGUGGGGUAGUGGCUUACCAAGGCUUUGACGGGUAGCCGGCCUGAGAGGGUGACCGGCCACAUUGGGACUGAGAUACGGCCCAGACUCCUACGGGAGGCAGCAGUGGGGAAUAUUGCACAAUGGGCGGAAGCCUGAUGCAGCAACGCCGCGUGCGGGAUGACGGCCUUCGGGUUGUAAACCGCUUUCGCCUGUGACGAAGCGUGAGUGACGGUAAUGGGUAAAGAAGCACCGGCUAACUACGUG